CGUUCAUCCAGAGCAGCAGAGGGACUGGCCCUAUGAUGCUGCGGCAACCCCCGCAAGGGAAGGUGCCAAGUCCAGCGGAUUCCCGACAGAUGAGUG
Megasphaera micronuciformis F0359 is the source of this 96-nucleotide regulatory RNA element. It matches the Rfam family "SAM riboswitch aptamer (S box leader)". From Rfam's summary of the family: The SAM riboswitch is found upstream of a number of genes which code for proteins involved in methionine or cysteine biosynthesis in Gram-positive bacteria. The SAM riboswitch acts at the level of transcription termination control. The record is from Rfam. NCBI's taxonomy places the organism in Bacteria, Bacillati, Bacillota, Negativicutes, Veillonellales, Veillonellaceae.